This 1173-nucleotide long non-coding RNA is filed under the name Neodiprion lecontei (redheaded pine sawfly). RNAcentral describes it as "uncharacterized LOC124294930, transcript variant X1". Lineage: Eukaryota; Metazoa; Arthropoda; Insecta; Hymenoptera; Diprionidae. The record is from RNAcentral.
UCUUGUUGAAUUUCUAGUGUAUUUAAUCGUUCGCCAAUACGAAUUGUAAAGUGAAAAUAUGCCCCAGCCCAAGCCAUUUUCGGAACGCUUCGGUUGAAAACAUACAUCUUUCUUCAUUUCUUUUUCUGUUUUUCUUAAAACAAAGACGUCAAAACUUGGAGGACCAAAUAAGAACGCUUGACGUUCAAUCGUUUCAAAAGGAAAAACGAACGUGGAAAAGUCAGAAUACUAUGUAAAUCAGCCCACUAAUUGAUGCGGAACAUGAGGAAGGAGAGUUCUGGAUGAAUUUCUUCGGUGAUUCAAAGCUCCAGCUCACUAUAACUGGUAUUCUACACCGACAGGAUAUUCCGCGCCUCUGCAUCUCAAGAGGAAGUGAAAAAAUUCAUUGGGUUCUCCGCUCAGGUGACGCAACGAAUCUGCAAGCCGUGAACAUUGAAGGUCUUGAGGAUCUGGAAGGCAGUUUAAGAUCCGUAUAAAAUAUGCGGUCAGUCGCUAUCAUAACAUCCGUUAAUGAAGGCUUGGCAUCAUUACUAGUUCUACAUCUCAUAUAUAGUCUGUUUUUAAUUUAGAAAGCACGUUGAAAUGAUCGAGUCGGAGGUUCGCAAAAAAUUGAUAAAACAAUGAAAACGGAGUUCCAAAAGUAUUUAAUAAUUAUAAUUUUAAUAAGUUAAUCAAAAUUAACCGGAGUCAGUUUUUCUCUGUUUAACGAUCAUUAGGUCAAUUUCAAAACAGUACAUGAUUGUGUCAACAGUGAUAUCUAUUCUUAUUAAAUCAUUCUUCGGACCGACUAAAUGAUAGCUCGUGAAGCCAUUGAAAGCAGUAUGCAAAGAAGGAAUUUGGAUGAUUUUGAAUUAACAUAAUGUAAUAAAAGUAUAUGGAUGAUUGAAAACAUCAUGGCAAAAAAUGUUACAAGGGUAGCCAGAAACUCCGCUUCUCACGCAGAGAUAUAGAUUAUAAUAUUAUAAAACUAAAUCCAUAAACACUGGUCGAGAAACGACUGAUUUCAAGGAAUUCAUUUGAAUUUCAGCGUUAUAAUUUACAAAAACGUAUGUCUGAACAGGUGCUGCUGCGAGGAGUUAUCGGUGAAAUGAUAUUUUGAAACGUGGUAAAAUAUGAAAACAAAAACCCCAUGCUGUGUGGAAUAAUGCAAUAAAAAAAAAAAAUCCGAAACGA